UAGCAUGGGUCUUGCCAUCUCCGUUUCCCGCUCUCGCAAUCUCUCCGCGUCAUCACUUUAUCAUCCUAAGUGACUAAUCGUUAAUCUUCCACAAUUUACACUUUUCUCUCUGGUUUUCUUCCAAAUUCUCCUUUCCUUCGUUUAUUUCCGGCCAUGGCUUCACAUUGUUACCUAUAUCUCGCCAUCCUCAUCCUUUUAGCCGCCAUUGACGUUAACAGAGAAGGGUGAAAGGAGAAACCAUUAGAAAGCCAGAUGGGGUUUCGACAACUGCAGUGAAGAAAUCAAGAAUAAAUUUAUGAAUUCUGGAUAUUGCAACACAAUUGAGAUGGAAAUUUAGUUUAAUGAGGAUAGUGCGAGGAGCUUCUAUGCUGAACAUUCUUGUAAAACUUUUUCAUUGGACGUGUCAAAUAUUUGACAAGCAUGUGUGGCUCCAACUCUAAAAGGAAUUGACUCCAAGGUUCUAACUCUAAUCAACCUGCUCCGUAGAAGACAUCACCUUUCUUUGGUAUACUUGAUAGUCUCUUUCUUCUAUAUGAUAAAAUAGCAUUUUGUCUCUUGCAUACAUAAUGAGAUUGUUAUGAAUUGACAUAUCCAGAGAGAUGAUAUUAAUCUAGGCAGAAGAGAAAUGCGUAUGAUUAUUUGUAUGUAAAAUGUAGAUGACUGAUUGUAUAAAUGUGUAAUGUAAAUGAAUAUGCAUUUCAAAGAUUGAUUAUAACCUAAGAGUGAUUACAAUGAGAUAGUUGUCAAGUAAUUCGAGAAGUUUGAGGUCUUCCUAAAUGAGUCAUAAACUCAUCUCAAAUGUAUUACCAAAAUGAAUGCCCUUCUCUCUCCCUUCCCUUUUUGUUUAUUCCAUUUCUCCCUACAUAUUAUUCUCUCAACUAACUAAUUACAAAGUACUACUAUUAUUUAUUAUUUAAUUACUAUAUUACCCCUCACAACCAUUCAUGACAUAUCGGCUCCAAAAAAAAUCCACCUUUGCUAAAGGUGGGUACAACAUAAAUUGAGUUAAGAUGAUGGUUGAAAUUGUCAACUUGGUCGAAGGUUUUAGUAAGGAAAAAUUGAAAAAUGUGGGCUUGCAAAAGAAAAAUGACUUGAAUAUUUGACUCUAAAAGUUUGAAGGCUAAAGGAAUAGAGCAAAUUUGAAAUGGAUGUAUUGGGGCUUGGUAUAGAAAUUGGAAAGUCAACAUCAGACUGAUGAUGUCAACAAUGAUGUGGACAAGAGGUUUAUUUACUUUUGUAGCCUCAGCCCUAAUGUUGGGUGGCUUAAACCAACUUUCACAUGACAACCAGAAACCUUCAUAUUCCCUAUUCACCACUGUUGCCGCCUUCAGCACAUUGCUAUUAACCUCCAUUUCUCCAAUCUUCCAGCAAGGGUUCUCAGGCUACCACCGGAUCCGCAGUACACUUGCUCAACAUCUUCUCCCAUUCUGCGACUUCUCCAUAACGUCUUGAACACCACGUACACUCAUUCGUCACAGAUUCUGCAACAUUAGGUCCACUAAACAGUGGCUGAGCCAUCCUACAACCACCUAGUCGGUUCCUUCCUUGCAUCCUCCUUUUUUUCGUCUUCUUCCGUUGUUUCUCUUUUUCAUACCCCGUCUUCCAUUUUUCGGGCAACAUACAAACACCAUGUCGGAGUUUGUACUCUCCAGUCUCCACACUCUAGGACAACCUUAGUAAAAAUACAACCUAUCUUAAUUUUUUAAAAUUCUUUGAAUUAUUUUGGAAUGGCUUUGUUUUAUUUAAUUUUUAAGAAUCUCCAAUUCCUCCACAAUCUUCUUCCUCAACCUGUGCAAAUUCAUUUUGGUGUUUGUCUUUUUCAACAACCUCGUCAAUCUUCAUGUCGGUAAGUUUUACCUCUUGAUAUCUUCUAUUCAUUUUUCUAAUAAUAGUCUCCCAAAGAUCAUCUGAUUUUUUCAUCUCUAAAAUCUUGUUUCAAAUCUGUUCAAGAUUAGUGUUGAAUUGUCUGAAAAUUAGUGUUGAAUUGUCUGAAAAUUUCUUCCAUAUUCAAAAAGUAAUUUUUAGUUUCUUUGUCAACUCUUGCAAUCAACUCCUCCAUCUUAUUCAAUAUAUUACUUAUAGUGGUUUCGUGACACUGUUGAACUCCAGGAUGAUUCCCACCACCAAAUUCAAUGUUGUCGAACUCAUAAACUCCAUCAAAAUCCAAAUUCUGAAUUUCUCGUAUCCAUAGAGAUGAUAUUAAUCUAGGCAGAAGAUAAGUGUGUAUAAAUAUAUCAAUUUAUAUGUAAAAUGUAGAUGACUAAUUGUAUAAAUGUGUAAUGCAAAUGUAUAUGUAUAUCGAAGAUUGAUACUUAGCUAAGAAUGAUUACAAUGAGAUAGUAGUCAAGCAAUUCAAGAAAUUUAAUUCUUAUAUUACCCCUCAACCAUUCAUGACAAAGAUCUACUAAGAAACAAUGCCCAAUUUGUUGGUGAUACUAAUAAUUUUUGUUAGGGUAAGAGCGCUAGCGGAAACGUAAUUUAAUUGAGAAAUAAUCAAAGUGCAAAGGGCAAGAAGAGCUAUUACGAAAAUGACACAAAUUGAGCACUUGAAAAAUAAUUUCACUAUAUUAUAAUCAAAGAGAUUGAUACAAGGAUAUAAGAUAAUAGCUUGUGAAGUGGAAUAAUAAUACAAGAAGGAAAUUUUUGUGUGGACGGUUAGAUUAAAUAAGAUGUCUAACACUCCUAUUUAUAUUUGAGGUUAGUAGGUGGUAUGAAUCUAGUAAUUUCCACACAAAUUUUUUUCUAGUAUAAUCUUUCUAAUGUUCUAGUAUUUUCUAUGCAAAUAUCUAUUACUAGAAUAAUCUAGCUACUAGUUUUAUGAGCUAAACAAGAAUGUCCUUAAAGUGAAGGUUUUGUUGGCUAUGAAUUUGGGCCAUACCCAACAAUCUCCACCUUGAACCAAAUUACAUAGGUCACUUAUGGUUAAAGCCCUUUUAAAAAAACCUUUUAGUAGGAACAAACUCCUACUAAGUCCAAACAAUGAUCGAACUUGAUUCCAGGAAUUGGCUUUGUGAGCAUAUCAGCAGGAUUUUCCGAAGUAUGAACCUUCUUAACUGCAAUUUCACCUUCAGCAAUAAUAUCUCUGACGUAGUGAUAUUUAACUGAGAUAUGCUUGGUCUUGGAAUGGUAGACAUCAUUCUUGGUGAGAAAGAUAACACUUUGACUAUCAGAGAAUACCACAGUGACACCUUGUGGUAUACCAAGAUCCAUAACAAGACCUCGCAACCAUAUAGCCUCCUUUAUACCUUCAGUUGCUGCAACAUACUCUGCUUCAAUAGUAGAAAGAGUAGCUAUCGGUUGCAAUUGAGCCUUCCAGCUAAUUGCACCGGUCUGUCGAUCCCGAUGUAUCUCCAUGCGAAGAAUUUUCGUUGCUGUACCAAGAUCUUUCAUCUCAAACUCCUUGCUAAGUUGCGAUUUUAAGUUCUUGAUCAGAGACUUGUCACAAGAUGCAAUGAGCAUAUUGUCCACGUACAACAACAAAUAAAUAAAGUGCCACCAUAUUGCCGAAAAAGACACAAUGAUCAUACUGGCUGCGUGUGUAGCCUUUUUUGAUCAUAAAUGAAUCAAAGCGCUUGUACCACUGCCUUGGAGCUUGCUUAAGACCAUAUAAUGAUUUCUUCAAGCGACAAACAAGAUUUUCCUUUCCAGGAACAACAAAUCCUUCGGGUUGCUUCAUAUAAAUCUCUUCUUCAAUGUCACCAUGAAGAAAAACAGUUUUGACAUCGAGUUGCUCUAACUCCAUGUCAAACAUAGCAACCAUUGCAAGAAGAACUCGAAUAGAAGUAUGACGAAUAACAGGAGAAAAAAUUUCACUAAAGUCAAUACCUUCUUUUUGAUGGCAUCCUUUGACAACGAGGCGUGCCUUCCAUCAUGCGGGUUCAACUCCUGGAAUGCCUUCCUUUUGCUUGUAGACCCAUUUGCAAGCAAUUGCUUUUCGGCCUUUAGGUAGCUCCACCAGGUCCCAUGUGCCAUUCUUGUGAAGACUAUUGAUCUCCUCAUUCAUUGCUAUUAGCCAUUUAAAGGAAUCAGGACUAGAGAUGGCUUCUGAAUAGGAGGAUGGAUCAGCUCCAACAGUAGUUUCUUCGCCAACUAAGAGUGCAUAAGCAAGCACAUAUUUAUCUGCAGAAUAUUUUGAUGACCUUAUGAUAGGCCUUUUUGAACGAUCCCUGACCAGAUUGUAAUCUGUUGGUUGAUGAGAGAUUUGUGGCUGGCUUGAUCCAUUGGUAAUUGGAGAAUCAUUAUCGUGAUCUUGAUCAUCAUGGCUGGAACAAGGGCUUGAUGAAGCAUCAUCUUCCACCGUGGGAGACUGACUUCUUGUCUCUAACUCCACCUUCUCACUAACACUAUCUUGAUUAUAUGUUUAGGAGAUGAAAUAGAAGACUCCAGACCAGAGGAUUUGAUAGUAGCAUUUUUCAUUAAAAGUAACAUCUCGAGUAAGAAUUACUUUCUUAGACUCGAGACACCAUAAUCUAUAUCCUUUAGAUUCAGAAGAGUAACCAAUAAAAUGCAUUUAACAGCACUAGGAGCUAAUUUGCCAUCAUUAAUGUGAGCAUAGGCAAUACAACCAUAUACUUUAAGGAAGGAGUAGUCAACGAUUGUACCUGACCAGACUUCCUCUGGGAUUUUGAAGUCAAUAGAAGAGUGUAGAGAUCGGUUGACGAUAUAUGCGGCUGUAGAUACGGCUUCUGUCCAUAGAUAUUGAUGACUCCAUAGUCCAGCAUUAGAGAUCAUACAAGGAGCUCUUUCAAGAAGAGUUCGGUUCAUACGUUCUGCAACACCAUUUUGUUGAGGCUUGUGAGGUAAUAUUUUGUGUCUUGCAAUGCCAGCUUUUGCACAGAAUUCUUCAAAUUCUCCAUCACAAAAUUCCAUGCCACGAUCAGUCCUGAGCUUCUUGAUUUUUCUCCUAGUCUGGUUCUCCACGAGAGCUUUCCACUUCUUAAAAGUGGGAAAAGCCUCAUUUUUACGCCUUAAGAAAUAAAUCUAGACUUUACGAGUGAAAUCAUCAAUAAUCGACAUAAAGUAGCAUUUUCCAGAAUAAGAGGCGACCCUAGAAGGUCCCCAUAAAUCAGAGUGGACAUAAUCAAGAAUACCCUUUGUUCAGUGAGUAGCAGUAGAGAAACUUACUUUCUUUUGCUUCCCAUAGACACAAUGCUCACAGAAUUCUAGCUUACCCGUACUAGGUGAGCCGUGAAGUCCACGUUUGCACAGGAUGUCCAUUCCUUUUUCGCUCAUAUGACCGAGGCAUUUAUGCCAUAAAUGAGUAUGACCAGAAUCAAUAAAUGAGGAUGAGAUAUAAACUACCACUUCUUGUGGCCUUCAUUACAACUAGGGCACCUUUGGUGACCUUCAAAACUCCACCUUGAGAUGAAAAUCUAUAUUCAAGAGACUCAAGAGUACCCAGUGAAAUCAGAUUGCGUUUUAAGUCAGGAAUAUGACGAACCUUAGUCAAAGUCUUGACAACGCCAUCAUGAGUCUUGAUUUUGAUUGAACCUAUGCCAAUAACCUUACAGGAAACAUCGUUUCCCAUUAAGACAAUACCACAAUCAACAAAUUCAUAUGUGGUAAACCAGUCCCUAUGGGGACACAUAUGAUAGGUGCAACCAGAAUCAAAAAUCCAUUCAUUAAGGUCCUUCUUUUCAGAAGUUACAGGUAACACUGAGUCACCUUCUGAGUCAGUUGGAUAGCCGACAUGGCUUUUUCAUCCAACUCUUGCCACUGCUCGUCGGUCAUCGUUGAAGGCUUUGUAUGAAGAGCCUUUUUUAAUCAGUUUUGAACAAGAACGGCUUGCAUCUGGAUUUUCUAGAUACUAAAGCUUAUCUUGCUAUUGAAUUUCUCGAUAUCAAACUUUGUAACGCUCGACAUUAUAAACCUUUGGCUCUGAUACCACUUGUUAGGGUAAGAGCGCUAGCGAAAACUUAAUUUAAUCGAGAAAUAAUCAAAGUGUAAAGGGCAAGAAGAGCUAUUAAGAAAAUGACACAAACCGAGCACUUGAAAAAUAAUUCCACUAUAUUAUAAUCAAAGAGAUUGAUACAAGGAUAUAAGAUAAUAGCUUGUGAAGUGGAAUAAUAAUACAAGAAGGAUAUUUUUGUGUGGAUGGUUCGAUUAAAUAAGAUGUCUAACACCCCUAUUUAUACUUGAGGUUAGUAGGUGGCAUGAAUCUAAUAAUUUCCACACAAAUCUUUUUCUAGUAUAAUCUUUCUAAUGUUCUAGUAUUUUCUAUGCAAAUAUCUAUUACUAGAAUAAUCUAGCUACUAAUUUUAUGAGCUGAACAAAUCAUUCUAAAAUGUUCUUAAAGUGAACAUUUUGUGGGCUAUGGAUUUGGACCAUACCCAACAAUUUUUGUGUUAAUAUAAUAUCUUGUGUACUUCAUUUGGAUAUAUCAUUUAUUUUGAAAGCCUACAUGUUGACUUGAAGAGUUUGAGACUUCACAAACAAGAUUUUAGGAAGAUCGUUAUGUAGUCAAAACUUAUCAUCAUUAUUCUCCUGCUUGCAGAAGAAAGAAAAAAGAUAAUAAUUGGAAUAAUUAUCAAAACAAAUGAUUUAGAUAUAGAUAUGGACACGAGUCAUGAGGGAAAUAUAUGUUAUUAAAUUACCUUUGAUGGGCACCAUUCACCAAGUGUUCUCAAUAAGAUGUAUUCAUGAUGGCAUAUACUUUAACUAGUGGUUGGCUAGUUAAGACUUGAAGACAACCCUUAUAAGCUGAUUCAAAUGUGUGGUGACUGCUCAAACUUUUUCAGGCUAUCUAUAAUACACUGUUUGCUUCAGAUUAUUAUUUUUUAGCCAAAAAUGUAACAAGAUAGCAAGGAUUGUAUGACUAGAGUGAUUAAAAUGAGAAUGUAAAUGGCUAUGUAUAGUAUGAUUUAAAGUAGGGCUGACAAAAGUUGAUCCAAUGUAUGACAUGUCAUAUAGUGGCAGUUCCAGAUGCACAAGACUUACGUUAGUUUGAUAAACUUAAGUUUUAGGCUGUACCCAAAUGACUGAUGUUCUUUGAGAAACAUACUUUAUGAGUGAAUUUCUGUUUGGUUUUGGCUCAUAGACCAUAGAGAAAUGAAUCAUUUUGGCAUGCUUGUAUUUUAUGACUUGAAUACUAUUUGUUUGAACAAAUAUGAACUCAAGUCAUUUAUAGACACAUUUUCUUUAUUCUUCCUUUUUUCUUAAA
Long non-coding RNA from Amaranthus tricolor (Joseph's coat), 7159 nucleotides. RefSeq lists it as uncharacterized. The transcript has 3 exons. The record is from RefSeq and is a predicted model, not a curated record. NCBI's taxonomy places the organism in Eukaryota, Viridiplantae, Streptophyta, Magnoliopsida, Caryophyllales, Amaranthaceae.